This 2900-nucleotide ribosomal RNA is filed under the name Klebsiella pneumoniae. Its description in RNAcentral is "bacterial LSU rRNA". It matches the Rfam family "Bacterial large subunit ribosomal RNA". The record is from RNAcentral. Lineage: Bacteria; Pseudomonadati; Pseudomonadota; Gammaproteobacteria; Enterobacterales; Enterobacteriaceae.
UUAAGCGACUAAGCGUACACGGUGGAUGCCCUGGCAGUCAGAGGCGAUGAAGGACGUGCUAAUCUGCGAAAAGCGUCGGUAAGGUGAUAUGAACCGUUAUAACCGGCGAUGUCCGAAUGGGGAAACCCAGUGUGAUUCGUCACACUAUCGUUAACUGAAUACAUAGGUUAACGAGGCGAACCGGGGGAACUGAAACAUCUAAGUACCCCGAGGAAAAGAAAUCAACCGAGAUUCCCCCAGUAGCGGCGAGCGAACGGGGAGCAGCCCAGAGUCUGAAUCAGCUUGUGUGUUAGUGGAACGGUCUGGAAAGUCCGACGGUACAGGGUGAUAGUCCCGUACACCAAAAUGCACAGGUUGUGAACUCGAAGAGUAGGGCGGGACACGUGGUAUCCUGUCUGAAUAUGGGGGGACCAUCCUCCAAGGCUAAAUACUCCUGACUGACCGAUAGUGAACCAGUACCGUGAGGGAAAGGCGAAAAGAACCCCGGCGAGGGGAGUGAAAAAGAACCUGAAACCGUGUACGUACAAGCAGUGGGAGCACCUUCGGGUGUGACUGCGUACCUUUUGUAUAAUGGGUCAGCGACUUAUAUUCUGUAGCAAGGUUAACCGUAUAGGGGAGCCGCAGGGAAACCGAGUCUUAACUGGGCGUUAAGUUGCAGGGUAUAGACCCGAAACCCGGUGAUCUAGCCAUGGGCAGGUUGAAGGUUGGGUAACACUAACUGGAGGACCGAACCGACUAAUGUUGAAAAAUUAGCGGAUGACUUGUGGCUGGGGGUGAAAGGCCAAUCAAACCGGGAGAUAGCUGGUUCUCCCCGAAAGCUAUUUAGGUAGCGCCUCGUGAACUCAUCUUCGGGGGUAGAGCACUGUUUCGGCUAGGGGGUCAUCCCGACUUACCAACCCGAUGCAAACUACGAAUACCGAAGAAUGUUAUCACGGGAGACACACGGCGGGUGCUAACGUCCGUCGUGAAGAGGGAAACAACCCAGACCGCCAGCUAAGGUCCCAAAGUCAUGGUUAAGUGGGAAACGAUGUGGGAAGGCACAGACAGCCAGGAUGUUGGCUUAGAAGCAGCCAUCAUUUAAAGAAAGCGUAAUAGCUCACUGGUCGAGUCGGCCUGCGCGGAAGAUGUAACGGGGCUAAACCAUGCACCGAAGCUGCGGCAGCGACACUAUGUGUUGUUGGGUAGGGGAGCGUUCUGUAAGCCUGCGAAGGUGACCUGUGAGGGUUGCUGGAGGUAUCAGAAGUGCGAAUGCUGACAUAAGUAACGAUAAAGCGGGUGAAAAGCCCGCUCGCCGGAAGACCAAGGGUUCCUGUCCAACGUUAAUCGGGGCAGGGUGAGUCGACCCCUAAGGCGAGGCCGAAAGGCGUAGUCGAUGGGAAACAGGUUAAUAUUCCUGUACUUGGUGUUACUGCGAAGGGGGGACGGAGAAGGCUAUGUUAGCCGGGCGACGGUUGUCCCGGUUUAAGCAUGUAGGCUGGUUAUCCAGGCAAAUCCGGAUAAUCAAGGCUGAGGUGUGAUGACGAGGCACUACGGUGCUGAAGUAACAAAUGCCCUGCUUCCAGGAAAAGCCUCUAAGCAUCAGGUAACAUCAAAUCGUACCCCAAACCGACACAGGUGGUCAGGUAGAGAAUACCAAGGCGCUUGAGAGAACUCGGGUGAAGGAACUAGGCAAAAUGGUGCCGUAACUUCGGGAGAAGGCACGCUGGUGUGUAGGUGAAGCCCCUGCGGGUGGAGCUGAGACCAGUCGAAGAUACCAGCUGGCUGCAACUGUUUAUUAAAAACACAGCACUGUGCAAACACGAAAGUGGACGUAUACGGUGUGACGCCUGCCCGGUGCCGGAAGGUUAAUUGAUGGGGUUAUCCGUAAGGAGAAGCUCUUGAUCGAAGCCCCGGUAAACGGCGGCCGUAACUAUAACGGUCCUAAGGUAGCGAAAUUCCUUGUCGGGUAAGUUCCGACCUGCACGAAUGGCGUAAUGAUGGCCAGGCUGUCUCCACCCGAGACUCAGUGAAAUUGAACUCGCUGUGAAGAUGCAGUGUACCCGCGGCAAGACGGAAAGACCCCGUGAACCUUUACUAUAGCUUGACACUGAACAUUGAGCCUUGAUGUGUAGGAUAGGUGGGAGGCUUUGAAGCGUGGACGCCAGUCUGCGUGGAGCCAACCUUGAAAUACCACCCUUUAAUGUUUGAUGUUCUAACGUUGGCCCCUUACCGGGGUUGCGGACAGUGUCUGGUGGGUAGUUUGACUGGGGCGGUCUCCUCCCAAAGCGUAACGGAGGAGCACGAAGGUUAGCUAAUCCUGGUCGGACAUCAGGAGGUUAGUGCAAUGGCAUAAGCUAGCUUGACUGCGAGCGUGACGGCGCGAGCAGGUGCGAAAGCAGGUCAUAGUGAUCCGGUGGUUCUGAAUGGAAGGGCCAUCGCUCAACGGAUAAAAGGUACUCCGGGGAUAACAGGCUGAUACCGCCCAAGAGUUCAUAUCGACGGCGGUGUUUGGCACCUCGAUGUCGGCUCAUCACAUCCUGGGGCUGAAGUAGGUCCCAAGGGUAUGGCUGUUCGCCAUUUAAAGUGGUACGCGAGCUGGGUUUAGAACGUCGUGAGACAGUUCGGUCCCUAUCUGCCGUGGGCGCUGGAGAAUUGAGGGGGGCUGCUCCUAGUACGAGAGGACCGGAGUGGACGCAUCACUGGUGUUCGGGUUGUCAUGCCAAUGGCACUGCCCGGUAGCUAAAUGCGGAAGAGAUAAGUGCUGAAAGCAUCUAAGCACGAAACUUGCCCCGAGAUGAGUUCUCCCUGAGACUUUAAGUCUCCUGAAGGAACGUUGAAGACGACGACGUUGAUAGGCCGGGUGUGUAAGCGCAGCGAUGCGUUGAGCUAACCGGUACUAAUGAACCGUGAGGCUUAACCUU